Molecule: ribosomal RNA, 503 nt
Filed under: uncultured bacterium
Lineage: Bacteria
Description: partial 16S ribosomal RNA
Rfam family: Bacterial small subunit ribosomal RNA
Source: RNAcentral
AUUGAACGCUGGCGGCAGGCUUAACACAUGCAAGUCGAGCGGGGUGAUGGUGCUUGCACUAUCACUUAGCGGCGGACGGGUGAGUAAUGCUUAGGAAUCUGCCUAUUAGUGGGGGACAACAUCUCGAAAGGGAUGCUAAUACCGCAUACGUCCUACGGGAGAAAGCAGGGGAUCACUUGUGACCUUGCGCUAAUAGAUGAGCCUAAGUCGGAUUAGCUAGUUGGUGGGGUAAAGGCCUACCAAGGCGACGAUCUGUAGCGGGUCUGAGAGGAUGAUCCGCCACACUGGGACUGAGACACGGCCCAGACUCCUACGGGAGGCAGCAGUGGGGAAUAUUGGACAAUGGGGGGAACCCUGAUCCAGCCAUGCCGCGUGUGUGAAGAAGGCCUUAUGGUUGUAAAGCACUUUAAGCGAGGAGGAGGCUCUUUUGGUUAAUACCCAAGAUGAGUGGACGUUACUCGCAGAAUAAGCACCGGCUAACUACGUGCCAGCCGCCGCAGUAA